AUGGAGGCGGCGAUUGGCGCGGCACGUGGGCUCGUCGGCAGGGAGGCCCAGCGUAGAGGCGUGAUCAACAACCCUAGUUUGGAGGAGCUACUGCACAAGCUCCACACCAAGGUCGGCAAGGCGGAGGACGCGCUGGACGAGCUUCACUACUUCAUCAUCCAGGACCAGCUCGACGGCACUCAGUAUGCUGUGCCGGAUCUGGGCAAUACCCUCUGGGGUCAUGCUCGCCACAUCCGUCAUGCCAUUCACCAUACCAUCGGUAACUUCAUCCUUCCAUUCUUUUCUUGUUGGCUGCUGCAAGAUGAUGAUCAUGGUGCUGCUGCUAUGAAUGAUCCUCACAAUACAGCCAACCCUGGUAGUGGUAAUGAUGGUUCAGUUACUAAGUUGUCAUUCGAUAGAGUGGCCAUGUCCAAGAAAAUCAAACAAGCAAUAGAGGAAAUGCACUCCCUGUGUGACCAAUUCUUGGAGUUGCUCAAAAUAAUCCCAGACCAUAGCACCAGUACUACAAUUGUCAACCUAAAACGACCUCUCACAGGAUCAAUCACUGCACAAGAAAAUUUGUAUGGGAGGAGAGACCUGUUUGAGCAGACCAUAAAAGAUCUCAUCACCAAUUGCACAAAUAGCAAUAAAACUCUUUCAGUUAUGCCUAUAGUUGGUCCAGGGGGUAUUGGAAAAACAACUUUUGCUCAACACUUGUAUAAGCAUGAAAGGGUAGAAGAGCACUUCCCUGUCAGGGCUUGGAUAUGUGUCUCAACUGAUUUUGAUGUGCUCAAGCUCAGUCAGCAGAUCCUUAGCCAAAUAGAAGAAAAAAACAGCGCAUAUAAAAUAUCAAGUUUAAACCAGCUCCAGAAAUCCAUUGAAAAGAGGAUCAAGUCUAAAAGGAUUUUAAUUGUCUUUGAUGAUAUAUGGGAAUGCACUACUCAGGACUGGGAAACCCUGCUAGCUCCUUUGGGAAAGGGCGAAACCACAGGUAACAUGGUUCUCGUCACAACUCGGUUCCCGUCUAAAGUUGAUGAUGUGAAAACAACCAACCCCAUUCCGCUGAAAGGCCUUGAGCCGAAUGGUUUUUUUAAAUUCUUUGAAGCAUUAAUAUUUGAAGGAGAAAAACCUGAGAAUUACAAUGAUGAAUUAACUGAUCUUGCAAAGGAUAUUGCCAAGAAAUUGAAGGGUUCACCUCUAGCAGCCAAAACAGUUGGUCGGCUAUUGAAGAAUGACCUACGUAAGGAACAUUGGAUGGCAGUUCUCGAAGAUAAUGAAUGGCAAAAACAAAAAAAUAAUGAUGAUAUUAUGCCAUCUUUAAAGAUUAGCUAUGAUUACCUUCCUUUCCAACUGAAAAAAUGUUUCUCGUGUUUUUCCCUAUUUCCCGAAGACCAUAGGUUUAGCAAUCUAGAGAUUACAUGUUUUUGGAGUGCAUUAGGGAUCAUUGAAAAAGAUGAAAAUUACAUGGAAGAACUUUCGAAAAAUGGUUUUCUCGUGAAGGAGAAUGAUCGUUGGUCAAAUCAACAGUACUAUGUGCUGCAUGAUUUAUUGCAUGAACUAGCUCAGAGUGUCUCGUCACAAGAAUGCCUAAAUAUAUAUAGCAAUGCAAGUUUUAGAGCUAAUGAUGUCCCAAAAUCCAUUCGUCAUUUGUCCAUCACCAUGAAAGACAAAUACGUUGAGACUUUUAGGACAGAAAUGAUUAAAUUAAAGAGCAAGGUAGACAUUGCAAAUUUGCGUGCUCUAAUGAUUUUUAGAAAAUAUGAGGAACAAAUUGAUGAGGUUAUAGAAGACACAUUCAAGGAAAUGGAGGCUCUUCGUGUUCUUUUUAUCGAAGUCAACUCCCCAGAAUCUUUACCACAUUACUUUCCAAAACUUAUCCACCUAUGA
This 1866-nucleotide ribosomal RNA is filed under the name Triticum aestivum (bread wheat). RNAcentral's name for it is "partial small subunit ribosomal RNA". The record is from RNAcentral. Lineage: Eukaryota; Viridiplantae; Streptophyta; Magnoliopsida; Poales; Poaceae.